RNAcentral lists this long non-coding RNA (306 nucleotides) under Coturnix japonica (Japanese quail). RNAcentral describes it as "lncRNA (ENSCJPG00005009381.1)". The record is from RNAcentral. Lineage: Eukaryota; Metazoa; Chordata; Aves; Galliformes; Phasianidae.
CUCAGAAGUAUUCCUGUUACGGAACCUCAAGAUUGAAGGUGGGAAAUGAACUUCUGAGAAGUCAUGAAAAGUCAAGAUAAUGCUGUAGGCAAAUGAUAAAGAUCUUACCAUGAAGACCAGAGUUGUAGAAGAAAAGGUAACUGUCCAUGAAAUCUUCACUGAAACUGCAUUAUGGCAUGAUUUAGAGGCCAAGAUCAUCCUGAAAGAAAAUCUGAAAUCCCUGCCUUUUGAUGGAAAGGUCUGAAUUAUUCACCAGCUGGUUAAUGGCAGGUAAUGAGAUCUCUUCACGCUACAGCCCUGUCAGUA